This 877-nucleotide ribosomal RNA is filed under the name Moraxellaceae bacterium M_Sw_oHS_09/11_6_1(1). RNAcentral describes it as "bacterial SSU rRNA". It matches the Rfam family "Bacterial small subunit ribosomal RNA", at positions 15 to 890 of the family's 1533-position model. The record is from RNAcentral. Lineage: Bacteria; Pseudomonadati; Pseudomonadota; Gammaproteobacteria; Moraxellales; Moraxellaceae.
GUCAAUCACUCAGAUUGAACGCUGGCGGUAGGCUUAACACAUGCAAGUCGAACGAUGAGUCUCUAGCUUGCUAGAGAUGAUUAGUGGCGGACGGGUGAGUAACAUUUAGGAAUCUGCCUAGUAGUGGGGGAUAGCUCGGGGAAACUCGAAUUAAUACCGCAUACGACCUACGGGUGAAAGGGGGCGCAAGCUCUUGCUAUUAGAUGAGCCUAAAUCAGAUUAGCUAGUUGGUGGGGUAAAGGCCCACCAAGGCGACGAUCUGUAACUGGUCUGAGAGGAUGAUCAGUCACACCGGAACUGAGACACGGUCCGGACUCCUACGGGAGGCAGCAGUGGGGAAUAUUGGACAAUGGGGGCAACCCUGAUCCAGCCAUGCCGCGUGUGUGAAGAAGGCCUUUUGGUUGUAAAGCACUUUAAGCAGGGAGGAGAGGCUAAUGGUUAAUACCCAUUAGAUUAGACGUUACCUGCAGAAUAAGCACCGGCUAACUCUGUGCCAGCAGCCGCGGUAAUACAGAGGGUGCGAGCGUUAAUCGGAAUUACUGGGCGUAAAGCGAGUGUAGGUGGCUCAUUAAGUCACAUGUGAAAUCCCCGGGCUUAACCUGGGAACUGCAUGUGAUACUGGUGGUGCUAGAAUAUGUGAGAGGGAAGUAGAAUUCCAGGUGUAGCGGUGAAAUGCGUAGAGAUCUGGAGGAAUACCGAUGGCGAAGGCAGCUUCCUGGCAUAAUAUUGACACUGAGAUUCGAAAGCGUGGGUAGCAAACAGGAUUAGAUACCCUGGUAGUCCACGCCGUAAACGAUGUCUACUAGCCGUUGGGGUCCUUGAGACUUUAGUGGCGCAGUUAACGCGAUAAGUAGACCGCCUGGAGACGCCGCCUUGG